GGCUCCAUGGUGUAGUGGUUAGCAUGUCUGCUUUACACACAGAAGGUCCUGGGUUCGUGUCCCAGGUGGAGCCU
This 74-nucleotide transfer RNA is filed under the name Pteropus alecto (black flying fox). It matches the Rfam family "tRNA". From Rfam's summary of the family: Transfer RNA (tRNA) molecules are approximately 80 nucleotides in length. Lineage: Eukaryota; Metazoa; Chordata; Mammalia; Chiroptera; Pteropodidae. The record is from Rfam by way of RNAcentral.